RNAcentral lists this ribosomal RNA (161 nucleotides) under Panax assamicus. RNAcentral describes it as "5.8S ribosomal RNA". It matches the Rfam family "5.8S ribosomal RNA". From Rfam's summary of the family: 5.8S ribosomal RNA (5.8S rRNA) is a component of the large subunit of the eukaryotic ribosome. It is transcribed by RNA polymerase I as part of the 45S precursor that also contains 18S and 28S rRNA. Lineage: Eukaryota; Viridiplantae; Streptophyta; Magnoliopsida; Apiales; Araliaceae. The record is from RNAcentral.
AACCACUCUCGUCUAUCGAUAUCUCGGCUCUCACAUCGAUGAACAAAGUACCCAACUGCCUAUACUUGUUGUGAAUUGCACAAACCCCUGAACCAUCUAGUCUUUGAACACACGUUGCACCCAAAGCCAUUAUGACCACGGCACGUCUGCCUGGGCGUCAC